This 501-nucleotide ribosomal RNA is filed under the name uncultured bacterium. Its description in RNAcentral is "partial 16S ribosomal RNA". It matches the Rfam family "Bacterial small subunit ribosomal RNA", at positions 30 to 523 of the family's 1533-position model. The record is from RNAcentral.
AUUGAACGCUGGCGGCAUGCCUUACACAUGCAAGUCGAACGGCAGCACGGGUGCUUGCACCUGGUGGCGAGUGGCGAACGGGUGAGUAAUACAUCGGAACGUACCUUAUCGUGGGGGAUAACGCAGCGAAAGCUGUGCUAAUACCGCAUACGCCCUGAGGGGGAAAGCGGGGGAUCGCAAGACCUCGCGCGAUUAGAGCGGCCGAUGCCUGAUUAGCUUGUUGGUGGGGUAAAAGCCCACCAAGGCGACGAUCAGUAGCUGGUCUGAGAGGACGAUCGGCCACACUGGGACUGAGACACGGCCCAGACUCCUACGGGAGGCAGCAGUUGGGAAUUUUGGACAAUGGGGGCAACCCUGAUCCAGCAAUGCCGCGUGAGUGAAGAAGGCCUUCGGGUUGUAAAGCUCUUUUGUCAGGGAAGAAACACCGGCUCUAACACAGUCCGGGAAUGACGGUACCUGAAGAAUAAGCACCGGCUAACUGCGUGCCAGCAGCCGCCGUAA